CAGGAGAGGGUGAUGCCAGAGUGGCUAGGGUGGGAAAGGCACCGCGGGUCCAGCUAUGACCGGAGGGAGAUGCAACUCCCGCUCUAUAGGGGGGCUGAGGUGUUUUUUAUGGAGUGCUCCUAUACUACGUUUGUGCCAUCGCAAAUUCCAAUAGGUGCUCACGUCCAUGCAUCCUGGAUCGGUCCCAGCUAUACAUCGCGUGCUCGCUAGCUCAUUCGCUUGCUCGUCCUAGAUCAGGCCAAAAUCACUGUUUUAAUCUUGUGGGUCAACAUGUUCACAAACUGAACCCACAAAAGUAUUUCACGAUCUUACCUUUCUGAAAAUGGAAGUAUUAG
RNAcentral lists this long non-coding RNA (335 nucleotides) under Hordeum vulgare. RNAcentral's name for it is "long non-coding RNA (HVUL_LNC008608)". Lineage: Eukaryota; Viridiplantae; Streptophyta; Magnoliopsida; Poales; Poaceae. The record is from RNAcentral.